This 278-nucleotide ribosomal RNA is filed under the name uncultured Sphingomonas sp. RNAcentral's name for it is "partial 16S ribosomal RNA". It matches the Rfam family "Bacterial small subunit ribosomal RNA", at positions 29 to 334 of the family's 1533-position model. Lineage: Bacteria; Pseudomonadati; Pseudomonadota; Alphaproteobacteria; Sphingomonadales; Sphingomonadaceae. The record is from RNAcentral.
AAUGAACGCUGGCGGCAUGCCUAACACAUGCAAGUCGAACGAAGGCUUCGGCCUUAGUGGCGCACGGGUGCGUAACGCGUGGGAAUCUGCCCUCAGGUUCGGAAUAACAGCGAGAAAUUGCUGCUAAUACCGGAUGAUAUCGCGAGAUCAAAGAUUUAUCGCCUGAGGAUGAGCCCGCGUAGGAUUAGCUAGUUGGUGUGGUAAAGGCGCACCAAGGCGACGAUCCUUAGCUGGUCUGAGAGGAUGAUCAGCCACACUGGGACUGAGACACGGCCCAG